GGAGGAAAGUAGGGGAUCGCAAGACCUCAUGCUCGUGGAGCGGCCGAUAUCUGAUUAGCUAGUUGGUAGGGUAAAAGCCUACCAAGGCAUCGAUCAGUAGCUGGUCUGAGAGGACGACCAGCCACACUGGAACUGAGACACGGUCCAGACUCCUACGGGAGGCAGCAGUGGGGAAUUUUGGACAAUGGGCGAAAGCCUGAUCCAGCAAUGCCGCGUGAGUGAAGAAGGCCUUCGGGUUGUAAAGCUCUUUUGUCAGGGAAGAAACGGUGAGGGCUAAUAUCCCUUGCUAAUGACGGUACCUGAAGAAUAAGCACCGGCUAACUACGUGCCAGCAGCCGCGGUAAUACGUAGGGUGCAAGCGUUAAUCGGAAUUACUGGGCGUAAAGCGUGCGCAGGCGGUUUUGUAAGUCUGAUGUGAAAUCCCCGGGCUCAACCUGGGAAUUGCGUUUGAAACUACAAAGCUAG
RNAcentral lists this ribosomal RNA (465 nucleotides) under uncultured Pseudomonadota bacterium. RNAcentral's name for it is "bacterial SSU rRNA". It matches the Rfam family "Bacterial small subunit ribosomal RNA", at positions 198 to 644 of the family's 1533-position model. The record is from RNAcentral. Lineage: Bacteria; Pseudomonadati; Pseudomonadota.